GCAGAGCCUGGCACCAGGGGAGUGGUCCGAGGUGUGGACUGUCCCUCUUUGGGCUCCUUGCGCUCCGGGGCUUAGUGUCACCGUCGGUGCUGACUGAUGCUCCUGCUUUCUCCCUGUAGGCCUUCGGAGGAGAGCCCGGCUUCGCUUCAUGAAGCAGUUUUAUAAAUGAGCAGAGAAUAUGCUUCUGGUGUCCUGCUGCAAAAAAGACGUUGGUCAGGAACGAGUGAGAUCUGG
Long non-coding RNA from Molossus molossus (Pallas's mastiff bat), 234 nucleotides. RefSeq lists it as uncharacterized. The transcript is spliced from 2 exons. The record is from RefSeq and is a predicted model, not a curated record. NCBI's taxonomy places the organism in Eukaryota, Metazoa, Chordata, Mammalia, Chiroptera, Molossidae.